Long non-coding RNA from Eucalyptus grandis, 208 nucleotides. RefSeq lists it as uncharacterized. Lineage: Eukaryota; Viridiplantae; Streptophyta; Magnoliopsida; Myrtales; Myrtaceae. The record is from RefSeq and is a predicted model, not a curated record. The transcript is spliced from 3 exons.
AAACACACAUUCUUUCGUUUGAAGUAAAUAUGAGAAAGUGGAAAACUUUGCUUGCUUUUCAGGCGGUGAAGCAGCUGCUCCGGUUGGACGCAGAAAGCCCUGACACACAUAGGUGCCUGUUAAAGUUUUUCCACGUAGUUAGUUCCAUGGCUGCCCCAGCUACUGACUCUGAGAAACUUAUUUGCACUGUAUUAGAAGCUGAACGAUC